UACGAAGGGGGCUAGCGUUGCUCGGAAUCACUGGGCGUAAAGGGUGCGUAGGCGGAUUUCUAAGUCAGGGGUGAAAGUCUGAGGCUCAACCUCAGAACUGCCUUUGAUACUGGAAGUCUUGAGACCGGAAGAGGUAAGUGGAACUGCGAGUGUAGAGGUGAAAUUCGUAGAUAUUCGCAAGAACACCAGUGGCGAAGGCGGCUUACUGGUCCGGUUCUGACGCUGAGGCGCGAAAGCGUGGGGAGCAAACAGGG
RNAcentral lists this ribosomal RNA (254 nucleotides) under uncultured bacterium. Its description in RNAcentral is "partial 16S ribosomal RNA". It matches the Rfam family "Bacterial small subunit ribosomal RNA", at positions 524 to 777 of the family's 1533-position model. The record is from RNAcentral.